GCGGAAAUAGCUCAGUUGAUAGAGCAUUAGCCUUCCAAGCUGAGGGUCGCGGGUUUGAGCCCCGUCUUCCGCUCUA
This 76-nucleotide transfer RNA is filed under the name Phocaeicola vulgatus. RNAcentral's name for it is "Bacteroides vulgatus tRNA-Gly". It matches the Rfam family "tRNA". From Rfam's summary of the family: Transfer RNA (tRNA) molecules are approximately 80 nucleotides in length. Their secondary structure includes four short double-helical elements and three loops (D, anti-codon, and T loops). Lineage: Bacteria; Pseudomonadati; Bacteroidota; Bacteroidia; Bacteroidales; Bacteroidaceae. The record is from RNAcentral.